AAACGUAGGGGGCGAGCGUUGUCCGGAAUUACUGGGCGUAAAGGGUGCGUAGGCGGCCUUUUAAGUCAGAUGUGAAAGACCACGGCUUAACCGUGGGGUUGCAUUUGAAACUGGGAGGCUUGAGUGUCGGAGAGGGCAGUGGAAUUCCCGGUGUAGCGGUGAAAUGCGUAGAUAUCGGGAGGAGCACCAGUGGCGAAGGCGACUGCCUGGACGAUAACUGACGCUGAGGCACGAAAGCUAGGGGAGCAAACAGGAUGAGAUACCCUGGUAGUCCUAGCCGUAAACGAUGGGUACUAGGUGUAGGGGUUUCGAUACCUCUGUGCCGCAGUUAACGCAAUAAGUACCCCGCCUGGGGAGUACGUGCGCAAGCAUGAA
RNAcentral lists this ribosomal RNA (375 nucleotides) under uncultured bacterium. RNAcentral describes it as "bacterial SSU rRNA". It matches the Rfam family "Bacterial small subunit ribosomal RNA", at positions 523 to 898 of the family's 1533-position model. The record is from RNAcentral.